CUGGAGGUGGCUCAGAGGUAAAGAGCAUUGGCUGUUAUUCAAGGGAAUUUGGGUUUGAUUCCCAGCACCCAUA
RNAcentral lists this transfer RNA (73 nucleotides) under Cricetulus griseus (Chinese hamster). It matches the Rfam family "tRNA". From Rfam's summary of the family: Transfer RNA (tRNA) molecules are approximately 80 nucleotides in length. Their secondary structure includes four short double-helical elements and three loops (D, anti-codon, and T loops). Further hydrogen bonds mediate the characteristic L-shaped molecular structure. tRNAs have two regions of fundamental functional importance: the anti-codon, which is responsible for specific mRNA codon recognition, and the 3' end, to which the tRNAs corresponding amino acid is attached (by aminoacyl-tRNA synthetases). tRNAs cope with the degeneracy of the genetic code in two manners: having more than one tRNA (with a specific anti-codon) for a particular amino acid; and 'wobble' base-pairing, i.e. permitting non-standard base-pairing at the 3rd anti-codon position. The record is from Rfam by way of RNAcentral. Lineage: Eukaryota; Metazoa; Chordata; Mammalia; Rodentia; Cricetidae.